AGAGUUUGAUCUUGGCUCAGGACGAACGCUGGCGGCGCGCCUAACACAUGCAAGUCGAACGAGAGAGAAGGAGCUUGCUUCUUCGAUCGAGUGGCGAACGGGUGAGUAACGCGUGAGGAACCUGCCUCAAAGAGGGGACAACAGUUGGAAACGACUGCUAAUACCGCAUAAGCCCCACGGGUCGGCAUCGACCUGAGGGAAAAGGAGUCAAUCCGACUUUGAGAUGGCCUCGCGUCCGAUUAGCUAGUUGGUG
RNAcentral lists this ribosomal RNA (253 nucleotides) under uncultured bacterium. RNAcentral describes it as "partial 16S ribosomal RNA". It matches the Rfam family "Bacterial small subunit ribosomal RNA", at positions 8 to 254 of the family's 1533-position model. The record is from RNAcentral.